This 440-nucleotide ribosomal RNA is filed under the name uncultured bacterium. RNAcentral describes it as "partial 16S ribosomal RNA". It matches the Rfam family "Bacterial small subunit ribosomal RNA", at positions 338 to 795 of the family's 1533-position model. The record is from RNAcentral.
CCUACGGGUGACAGCAGUGGGGAAUAUUGCACAAUGGGGGCAACCCUGAUGCAGCGACGCCGCGUGAGCGAUGAAGUACUUCGGUAUGUAAAGUUCUAUCAGCAGGGAAGAAAAUGACGGUACCUGACUACGAAGCCCCGGCUAACUACGUGCCAGCAGCCGCGGUAAUACGUAGGGGGCAAGCGUUAUCCGGAUUUACUGGGUGGAAAGGGAGCGUAGACGGCGGUGCAAGCGAGAUGUGAAAGCCCGGGGCUCAACCCCGGGACUGCAUUUGGAACUGUGCUGCUAGAGUGUCGGAGAGGCAGGCGGAAUUCCUAGUGUAGCGGUGAAAUGCGUAGAGAUUAGGAGGAACACCGGUGGCGAAGGCAGCCUGCUGGACGAUGACUGACGUUGAGGCUCGAAAGCGUGGGGAGCAAACAGGAUUAGAUACCCCUGUAGUC